RNAcentral lists this ribosomal RNA (394 nucleotides) under uncultured bacterium. RNAcentral describes it as "bacterial SSU rRNA". It matches the Rfam family "Bacterial small subunit ribosomal RNA", at positions 29 to 424 of the family's 1533-position model. The record is from RNAcentral.
AUUGAACGCUGGCGGCAGGCCUAACACAUGCAAGUCGAACGCGAAAGUCACUUCGGUGGCGAGUAGAGUGGCGGACGGGUGAGUAACGCGUAGGAAUCUGCCCUGUAGUGGGGGAUAACCCGGGGGAAACUCGGGCUAAUACCGCAUACGCCCCACGGGGGAAAGCGGGGGAUCCUUCGGGACCUCGCGCUAUAGGAAGAGCCUGCGUCGGAUUAGCUAGUUGGUAGGGUAAAGGCCUACCAAGGCGACGAUCCGUAGCUGGUCUGAGAGGAUGAUCAGCCACACCGGAACUGAGACACGGUCCGGACUCCUACGGGAGGCAGCAGUGGGGAAUAUUGCGCAAUGGGCGAAAGCCUGACGCAGCCAUGCCGCGUGUGUGAAGAAGGCCUCGGUU